RNAcentral lists this ribosomal RNA (351 nucleotides) under hydrothermal vent metagenome. RNAcentral's name for it is "SSU rRNA". It matches the Rfam family "Bacterial small subunit ribosomal RNA", at positions 24 to 370 of the family's 1533-position model. The record is from RNAcentral.
UCAGAAUGAACGCUGGCGGCGUGCUUAACACAUGCAAGUCGAACGGUAACAGAUAGUAGCUUGCUACUAUGCUGACGAGUGGCGCACGGGUGAGUAAUAUAUAGAUAAUGUGCCCCUUAGUCUGGGAUAGCCAUUGGAAACGAUGAUUAAUACUAGAUACUCCUUCUUAUCAGAAGAUAAGUCGGGAAAGUUUUUUCGCUAAGGGAUCGGUCUAUAUCCCAUCAGUUAGUUGGUAAGGUAACGGCUUACCAAGGCGAUGACGGGUAGCGGGUUUGAGAGGAUGAUCCGCCACACUGGUACUGAGACACGGACCAGACUCCUACGGGAGGCAGCAGUGAGGAAUAUUGCACA